GGGGGCGGUUAUGAAAAAUUGUGUAAAUUGUAGGAAAUGUGGAUACCAUGAACUUGAUACUUACUUUCACUUUAAACCUUUAUUUUAGUACCCUGCAAAUAAUUCAAGUAAGCUGUUUAGCAAUGUAUGAACAUUUUUACACAUGUCCUUCCCAGAAUGUAGAAAUAUCAUUAUGCAGGUUAAAGUCAUUUUUCAGACACUACGAAAGGUUCUGCACAAUAUAAUAUUUGUAAACCUCGCGCGAAUAGUGGUGUAUGCGUGAUGUGUAAGCUGAGAGAGGAUAGUUCAGUAAUAGUUGGGGUUGCACAGCCUCAGCUGCGGUCACAUGAGUGGAGGGGAACUACUACGAGUAUUAACUUUUCUAAAAAUAUUGAGUUUGGUUUUCCCACCUCUGGUCCUCAUCACUGCUUUGCUCUGAAUCUGAAUCUCCAAACUGGUGUCUUCAUCCGUUUUGCUCAUGUCUGAAUUUGAUGACUCAAGGCUGACAACCAAUUCCUCAACAGUGUUAUCGUCCAAGUGUUCAUUUUGCAUGUAUUUCUCCUCCACUUCUUGUAUGUGUCUACAUACGGGCAACCACUCUUCUUUAGUGAUGAAGGAGAAUCUUUCUUCCUUCAGUUUUUGAACGUCUUGCAAUUGGGAUGUGACGUUCUUCAUCGCCACCCAGUUUUUAACCAUUGCCCACAUUUUUUUAAUGGGAUUUAGUUCUGGGUGGUAGGGUAGCAAACGAAGUGCAACAUGCCCAUGUCUUGCCAAAAGGCUGUCAAUACAAGUAAAUUGAUAAAUGAAUAAAAUGUAUGUAUCAAACAACUUUGAAACUUUUAUACCGACAAUCAAUAGAAAAACACCGAGUAGAGCAAUGUUUUUAGUUUGCUUAUAGCAGAUGACGCACCGAUCUAAACACAGCUAGAGCUACAAACCAAUUGAAGCAGACAGCCCUCUAUCGCAUGCUUUGGACGGGUCCAUCUCAUACUACCGAAAUCAGUUCUUUGCACUCUGCCUAUAUUUACUUUUUUAAAAAAUAAUAUGAUAUAUUUCACACUGAUUUACAUAGUUUCUGAUGAUUGUAUUCAAAGCUGAUAUCAAUAAUCCAAGUCAUUUCAUCAUGGAAUUACAAAUCACGACAUAUUUGUCAGUGUCCUAUAGUUUCAGCAGAUCUUAUAAAGGAAUUGUUUUCCUUUCCUUUUGUGUUGCCAUCAUGUGUUACUAUGGUCUGGAAAUAAUUGCAGAAAAGACAAAGCACAUGAUCAUGUCUUGGCAUAAGAAUUCAGGACAGAACCAUAAUAUAAUGAUAGCUGAUGAAUUGUUUGAAAAUGUGACAAAGUCCAAAUACUCGGAGACACCACUAACAAGUCAGAAUGACAUUCAUGACAAAUCUAGAGCAGAUUAAUUCAGGAAAUGCUUGCCAUCGUUCAGUCUGAAAUCUUUUGUCCUCCCAUCUCAUAAAAAACUAAAGGAUAAAAUAUACGCAAGUGUAAAUUUGCCAGUUGUGCUGUAUGAGUGCAAAACUUAGUCUCUCACUUUGAGGGAGGAACAUGGGCUGAGGGUCUUUGAGAACAGAGUUAUUUGGACCUUAAACGGAGGAAGACGGAUCACGGAGAUAAUUGCACAUUGAUGAGCUUUACUGCAUGUACUCCUCUCCUGAUAUUGUUCGGGCGAUUAAAUCAAGAAGGAUGAGGUUGGCAGGACAUGCAGCACACAUAGGGGAGGGGUGUUUACAAGUUAUUGGUUUGGGAGUCCUGAAGGGAGAAGACCGCUGGGAAGACUAAGGUGUAGGUUGGUGGAUAAUAUUAAGAGGGACCUUAGGGAGACAAGAAUCCAUGGAGCAAACUGAGUGCAGCUAGCUCAGAAUAGAUUCUGUCUGGUGGUGUUCUUUUCUGAACAUGGUGAAGAACCUCCAAGUUGCAUGAAGAAUGUGGGCUAUUCUUUGACAAGCCGAGUAUACAGUCUACUUUUCAAAGAGUGUCCUGCACCAUGGAGUGAUGUAGUAUUAAGCUCAUAAACCCAUAUAAACCAACUGCAGUACAUGUAGUAGAGUCAAUUAACAGUAGGGAUGGGACAACUGCUCAAGUAGUUUGGGUGACCAAUUUAAAAUCUUUGAAUUUUUUCAAUCGCCAUCGUGCUCGAAUGUUUGAGCAGAGUAUCAUGAGCUAUGUUCAGGCAUGUUUCAUACUGUCUGAGCUGUUUGGACAGUGAUUUGUAUUUUGUCAAAAGGACGUGAGACUCAAGCAGCAGGAUUUAGUCUAUGUACUGGACUUGUGCAUAGCUGACUGCAAGCAUAGGGAUGUUGUUCGUACUUUUAUAAAUUGAAUUGCUCAGUUAAGCAUAAUUGGCAAGUGUGGUCUAUAUUAAAUCUCCAACAUCACUCUGUUUAUCAUAUGAUUCUAUUCUGUUAAGUUGCUACAUGCCAUGAUCAAAAUCACCACUGGCACUAGCACAAGUUAACUUUGUUCUCCCUUCCUAUUGGUAGGCUGCUCUACUCUGAAGUCACAAUUUAUUUUAUUCUGGUAACAUUUGCCAAGACAUUGCCAUGGAUUCAGGAGAAGGCACUGGUGAUCGUACAGUGCACAAAACAUUGACUUCACAACAUUUACUAUCGCUACUGUUUGUAUGAAAUACAUGUUUUCCAAGAAAAUACUCUCAUUGGCUUGCUUUCACUGUACUUCAUUUUCUUUUCUCACCACUUGUUUGGUGCUCAGCGGUCGCUAAUGCGAACUGGUAUCCAGGUUGCUAUGGUCUUCGUGGAAUUAGACUCAGUCCGAUAAGCCACUUAAGUACUUUAAGUACUUUUCUGUGCUAUAGACUAACUAAUACAGUCUCAAAGUUACCAUUAUCUGAAACUACUUAUAUCUAGAAGUGACUGCUGUCUGGAAAUGACCAAUGUUUAGAAAUUACUGCCCUCUGAAAAACAAGGUUUGUGCCCAAAUUUGUCUUGGUACAGUAUGCAACUUAAACAUCAGUGACGCUCUUAGAAACAUAACCUGCUGCAUUCCUCAGAGUUUUUCAACUCUACCAUUAGAUGUUCUCCAGGCAAGUUUCUUAACCAGUAACUAUCUGUCUAGAUUUUCUAGUUACAUAAUUUAAUACAUUUAUUAAUUAUGUAUAAUUUCCCAACAUUUUUAUGGUGGAUUCUUAUUGCAGAAGAAUAUUAAACACAGGUGCAAUCAAAAUGAUAUGCCUUCUUAGUUUUAUUUUAUUUAUCUUGCUAUCUUGAGUAGCAGUGUGAUCACUCAUUGCUAUCCUGUUUGUUUAGUAUGUUCCUGCACAUGUUACAGUCAUUAUUAACUUGCUUACUUCUUAGUCUGAUUAGUAUAUAUUUAUUCGUGAUUUGUGCAGAGUAAUAAUGUCACUAUUUAUUAUCUGAAAAGUGCAUAGGAAUGACUUCUGUUAAAUAACAUAGACAUACUGUUCAUUUUCAUUUAUAAAGCCAUCACCAUGAGUUUAACCAUGUGGGAAGUAUUGCAAUCAUUUUUGUUGUACAUUGAGACCUGUUUGUGUAGCGAAAUUAUUGAUUUCCCAGUGUUCGAACAGUUUAAGAUUUGAUUGAGUUCUGUCAUACUAUUGAAACUGUUUAAGAAUUUCUCAAUACCAUCCCUAGUUAACAGAAUAAAUAAUUAUAUCUAACUUGAUAGCAGUUGUACAUUAAAAACUAAAAUGAUGCUUGAAGAUUGUGACUAACUCAUAAGAGUAUCCAACUGUUGGGCAGUAAAGUUAACCAGUUAAUGAAAGUGGUGUAAAGUCCAGGAAAUUCAAAUGAAAUUACAUUUAUUUUGCAGAAUCAGAAAUAUUAGCAAUUCUAGAAAAAUCAGUGGGAUUGAGAAAGGUUAUGGGAAAACAUACAUUCCAGGAACAUAGAAACAAGGAUUUACUUUUGCACAUACAAAAUGCAAAUACUACGCUAAUACCUACAACUGUAGAAGAAGUGACUUGAUUUACUGGAGUACUUAGCCUAUGCUUUCACUGUAAAUUUCUGUUACUAAUCUGGAAAUAUGAACGUUUCUGUGGUGUGUGAAGUUAUAAUGACCUCUUAAGGCUAAAGAACAUCUUGUCUUAGAUUUGGGUAAAGAUGGUAUAUUGAUGGCCUAAAAACGUAGGCACGGGAUUUACUUCUGCUGAGACAAUGGACUUCGGUGGAACACUCCAGAGAAGGAAUGUAUGUUGGAGACUAAAGAAAAUGAGAUGUUUCAUUCAAAAUUGAAUAUUGAAAUUAAAUGUAUAGAAAUGAGUGAGAAAGUAGAGUACCCUUUACUGUUUACAAAGUUUCAUGUGUAGAAAUACAGUUAACGAAGUCUUACUUAGUCCCUAGACCUUUACAUUAAUAAAUAUUACAUCAUUUGCAGCAUAUUUGUUUCUUAGGAGCUCCAAAACCAGAUUACCAGAAGCGUGUGACAAAGGUUCUGAACAGAGCAAAGAUGAAGUAGAGUUGCAAGGAACAUUAAUCCUUUUAAGUUCAAUGGCAGUUAUAUGUCCCAUCUACUUCAACAGUUAGUAAUUCUUUACAUCAUUAAAUGAAGUACAAGUAAAUAAAAAAUUCCUUUCCAUUCCUGUCUUGAUCUCUCAAGUCUCUACAGAAUAUUUUUCCAGUGAACAUUUUAUAUGCACUUCUUUUGUCAGGAUGCAUGAGGAGGAUAAACACCGAUUGUAAUUGGUGCUCAUAUUUUCUCACGUCAUUUAUGUGUUUGGUCAGAUAUUCGAAAUGUUCGUAUAUCAUCAGUGACACGUCAAUUUUGUCAGUGUGUACAAGGAAUGGUUGGAAAAAAAUUGUAGAUGCUGAGUGUGUGUUUGUCAUCUGACAUAGAGUGUGAUUGUAAAGUGCAAUGUCAGAGGCCACUCAAACCCAUCAGAACUGAAUCCCCGUAGCAUCAUGACAGUCGCAUCAGAACCACCACUGUGCCUUGACAGUGCUGGUUGUUGUGACCUCUAGCAGGUAUAAAGCUCAGAAUGAAGUAUUGACAGCACUCAUUCUGGUUGCUGUGAAAGCUGCCAUUUUUGUUGGUUGAAAUGUAACUGUAUCAUUUUUACGUACUCAUAAAUAAUUCUGGUUUACUCAUAUUAUUCUGUAUAGUGUUAAGACUAUUUAUUAACUGGAGAGGUUAGGUCACACUGAGCUGUGAGGUUGAUCAUGAAUGCUGAAUCAGGAUAAGCUGAUACUGUCCUGCCUUAACUUGAUUGACUGAGGAAAAUCACAAAAAGGUACAAAAUAUUAAUUCUGUAACACCGGUCUUUCUCUUGGACAUGAACUGGAUACCUCUUGAAUACAAAUCAUGUUAGAUCAUUAAACCUGCUUAAUGCAUUCAAAAGCAGAGUAAUGGCUAGUGAGGUGGCCAACCUGUAAUCCUCUGUCAGAAUAAACUAAUAAUGCAGAUUUUGUGAUACUGUCAAUUGACAGUUCUUUGCCAGACAUAAGUGGUUUUUUGAUCUGUGUGUGUGUGUGUAAAGAUGAUGUAACAUUUUAUUAUAACUUUUGUGUUAAGAAUUGGUUUUUAUGUGAAACUUUAUUAACGUGACUUGUUUGCAGCAUGAUGAUAAGUUUAAAGAUACAAUACAUCAAAAGAGGGGAUCUGAGAGAGACUGAGUUUGAGACUGCAAUUUGUCCCUUUCCUAAGUCAGUUCAAUCUCUUUAACAAGAUCAAAACCUAUUAUCCAAUAUUCAGUUCACUAUUCUGCUCUCAUUUUAUAUCUGGGUCUUCCAUGAAGGCUCUAGUUGUAUUUUAUUUAAUUUUGUUUGUUGAGCAGUGACAAUCUGUGUAAUGAAUGUGCAGAGGUGUCUGGUUCAGUUCUGCCACCACUCAGAACAUAAAAUGAAAAUCUGUCAUUGUAUUGAUAGCCAGUGAUGUGAAAAUGAGAGUAGAUAGACUUUAAAAGCACAUGGUUUUGUAAUUAAAAACUUGUCAUAUCAGCUGAGGAUUGAACACAAUAUUUAAAGAAUAUGUCCUCAGUAACUUAGUUGUAAGUUUCACACAUUCAAUGCAAAAUGUCAGAUUGCAGUUGUCAGAUAUGAAUAUUAUUUUUUAAGUCAAUUUUUUUAUAUUUAGCACAGUAAAUGAGAAUUUUUUCUCCAUUGGCUAAUGAUGUUACUGGCCAGUACCAGCAGCUUUCUCACACCACUUACUUUACUUUACUCUAUGUGCAACCAAAAGAGCUUUUUUUGCAAAAUAAAUGUAAAUAAUGCUGAAACUGACAGCCACAGAUGGUUAGGUGCACAGCCUGUAGUGAACACUGGAAAUAAACUGUUUCUUGUGGUCUCACUUUAAGUACAGCGCUCAUUACUUUUGGGGAACAUCAUGUACGCAGGGCUGGGUACUCCUCUGUACUGGCUUUGCAACAAAAUGUUGGUAUGGUCAAGAGGCAGGACUACAGUAACUUCAGGGGCCAUUGUGAAUCUUGAGUGAUACAUUUUAAUGAGCAUGAAGCAUCAUAUUACAUUGGCUGUGACUGUUUCUUGCACAGUUCAUAUAUCUCAGAAAGGAGCAGCAACACAUGCAGAAAUGUUACAUAGAAUGAUGAAAUGGGCUUCACAAAACUUGUUAUGUGCAUGAAGGUGACUGGCUUCUGGGGUGAUACACUGUGUAGUCUGGUAGAAGUUUACUGACAUUUCAGGAGUGCUUGCUGUCUCUUUCAUCGGGAUGAUGAGAUGGCUCACCGCCCCGAUGAUGGAUGCAGCAAGUGCCUCGAAGACAUCAGUACUCUUCUGCCAGACCACAGGAUGCAACAACCCAAAAGACAGUCAUCUUGAUACUGCCGUGAAAACUCGCAUAUUGUGUGUAUUUUGUGUAGUAAGAGUCUGCUGUAGAAGUGCACUUUAAUUAGUACCUGUGUGUUCAGACCUGGUCUUGUUGAAGUAAAAGCUGUGGCAAGAGACGUUUUUAUUGUCGUGAUGUUUAUCCCAUUGGUGGCCUUUGUAGAGACGAAUGAAUCUAGCACGAUGGACUCGUGGAUUGAUAUUGGGCAAGAGCAUCACUUUUGUUUACUCAUCUGCUCCCAGGAAAGUGGUAGUGUUGCCUGUGGAUGUAAUGAGCAGUGCAGCAGAGGCAUGCAUUGUGUCUCUAAUUUUAUGAGAGAUUAUGAAUGCUGUGCUCAGGUAGGCGACUGGUUGUGUAAUGAACUGACCCCAUGUAAAUAUCACUCAGCCCAUUGUACAGAAAUUAAAUAUUGUUUCUAGGAAGGUAUUUUGCCACUACUUGUAGAACUUGGUGAUGUCUCUUGUCCUGUUAGUGGCCAGUGUAUAUGUUGUAAUAUUUAAAUUUAUUUAUUUUUGAUCAUCUGAUGGUGGAGAGCAUCAUGUGAUCCUUAAGCCCCCUUGCUUGUCUUAAUAUGACAAUUUGUAUACAUUUUUAAACAAUGUGACAGUCUGAUUUUUUUAUUUCAGGGAAUAAAUGUUUUAAUAUUGUGUGGCAAAGCCUCUGUUAAUUCAAUAUGAAAUAUUUUAAUUUAAAAAAAAUACUUUUUGUCUUGCUAUAACAAGUACUUUGAAUUUUUGUAGAUUUUUAUGUUUUUCUAGUAAAGGAAUGCCUGAUGCUUUUACUCUUAAACAGAAGUAGUUGAUGUAUAGUUGUUAUUUAGAAGGAAGUGUAAUGAUGAAUUAUUUAGAUUGUGAGUUGAUACAGUCAAAUGGUUGCAGUUAAGGAUGGCCCGUCCUCUCUGUUACACUCGCAUUCUUAUAUAAUGCUGAAAGUAUGUGACUAAUAAUUAAAUUAAAUAUUGCAAACAUAUUUUUCUGGAUCAUAGCUACCAUGUAGCUAUUAAAGAGCUAAGAGAAUUAUAGUACAUUUGCACCCAGUUUCCUAACACACAUUUUAAAUGGGUAGUUAUUGAAAUUAUUUUCAGUUGAAAAUUGUGUUUGUUGUGAGUGAUGAUGUUUAUGAUUGUCUUGUUUGCACUAGUCAUGUAGACACAUCCAGUUUGAAGUCGCAGUAUUCAUUAUCCUCACUUGCAUAAAAUCAUGUGACAUCAGUCACUCUGGCUUCAAGAUGAAAGGACAAGUUUUGAUGCAUUUUUAGUGUCCCUAAUUUCAUGUAAUGACAUUAGGAUAUUAAAUUAAAUAUGCUAAAUAAA
Molecule: non-coding RNA, 8052 nt
Organism: Zootermopsis nevadensis
Lineage: Eukaryota; Metazoa; Arthropoda; Insecta; Blattodea; Termopsidae
Source: RefSeq, a predicted model, not a curated record